Molecule: ribosomal RNA, 482 nt
Filed under: uncultured bacterium
Lineage: Bacteria
Description: partial 16S ribosomal RNA
Rfam family: Bacterial small subunit ribosomal RNA
Source: RNAcentral
AUUGAACGCUGGCGGCAUGCUUUACACAUGCAAGUCGAACGGUAACAGGUCUUCGGAUGCUGACGAGUGGCGAACGGGGGAGUAACACAUCGGAACGUGCCGAGUAGUGGGGGAUAACUACUCGAAAGAGUAGCUAAUACCGCAUGAGAUCUAAGGAGGACAGCAGGGGACCUUCGGGCCUUGCGCUACUAGAGCGGCUGAUGGCAGAUUAGGUAGUUGGAGGGAUAAAAGCUUACCAAGCCGACGAUCUGUAGCUGGUCUGAGAGGACGACCAGCCACACUGGGACUGAGACACGGCCCAGACUCCUACGGGAGGCAGCAGUGGGGAAUUUUGGACAAUGGGCGAAAGCCUGAUCCAGCAAAGCCGCGUGCAGGAUGAAGGCCCUCGGGUUGUAAACUGCUUUUGUACGGAACGAAAAGACUCUCUCUAAUAAAGAGGUUUGAUGACGGUACCGUAAGAAUAAGCACCGGCUAACUACGUG